Molecule: non-coding RNA, 42 nt
Filed under: Trypanosoma brucei brucei
Lineage: Eukaryota; Euglenozoa; Kinetoplastea; Trypanosomatida; Trypanosomatidae
Source: RNAcentral
ACAACAUCAAUAUUAUCUGAAACUGUAGUUAGAUUGUGUAAA